CGGCGACUGAGGCGGGGCUGGGAAUUGCGGCGUUUGUCUGGCGGAGGGCCGGCCUCUCGGGCGAGCCUGGUUUGGGGCCUGGGGUUGGUCGUAAAAAUCAUAGUAAUUAAUUCUAACGGGCUACUGUGUCUUGAACACCUUUUACAUUUAUUGGCUUGUUUAGUCUUCACAUCCCCCCUUCUCGAAAGUGAAUUUGAACUGUGGUUGUUGCCUGGACUCGGCAUUCAAAUGCGACAAACUGACCGCUGGUUGUCGAAAUGUCUUGAAGAUGCUGAAGAACAAAUACAGAAUUCACAGAAUGGAAGAAACUUUCACCAUAUGCAAUGAUUUGGGAUGCCAUUGGUAUAGAUCCUAGAUGACCUGUUUACUCCCUGAAGCUUACAGUAUUCUCUUAAGACCUGAGCGAGAGGAUUCUCUCUCCUGGAUCUUGUAUGUAGAGGACCCAGAUAUCACAAACUUUAAAAAAUGGCUGUUCGUGGACAUAUGCGGAGUGGUGAAAACUUCAGAUCACCCAAUGAGCACCACGCUGAACAAGAUCUGAUGUCGAAAUGAACACAUAUCAGAGAUCUUGGACUUUGAGCUCAAAGCAGUGACUGUGUGGGACUGGUCUUCUCCCUUGGGGAGGAGGUGGAAGUUUAUCAAAGCAAGAAGGAUGACCUACAGGUUUCUGAAUUUGGCAACCAGGUGGAUGAUAAUGCUCUUCACUGAAGUAGGCAACAGGAGGAAGAGGAAGUGUGGAAGGAGGAUGAUUUUUCCAGUAUCACCUGGAGGAAAAUUGUGAAAUUGAUGUCUCUGGAAGCUUUUGAAAAAAGUUAUGUUGUGACCCUGCAAGUGCCCAUCUACCUUACUGUUUCCACCCUCCUCUGUUUCUGGGCUGUGUUGCAGCUUCCUUUUCCAUCUUGUCCCUCCUCUUUUCUUGACUAAAGGCAGGAGUUUGAAACAGAUUUAAUGAUUUUACAAAUAUUCAUUAAAUAUCUGUCAUGUGAGGGCGAGUUCACAGUCCUUGACACUGAAAGUCUCAUAAUUUAGUGGGGGAAACUGACAAGUAAACAAAUACCGCAAAUCUCUCUGAUGAAAGCAAUAGGAGUGAGCAUGGGAUAGAGGCAUCUAAUCUGGCCAACAAAUUCAGGGGGCUUGACUGAUCCUUUUAAUUCAUUAUCACAGAUCGUAAC
This is a non-coding RNA of Leptonychotes weddellii (Weddell seal), 1172 nucleotides long. NCBI's taxonomy places the organism in Eukaryota, Metazoa, Chordata, Mammalia, Carnivora, Phocidae. The record is from RefSeq and is a predicted model, not a curated record.